GUGAUGGAUUUUUUUGCACCAAAGUUCUAUUUUGAGGAUGAGCUAUCUCGAUAUAUUAUUAUUUAUUUUAUUCUUUUCAAAUAUUCAUGCACUGCCCUCGCCCCUCUCUCUCCCUUCUAUCUCGUCGCCCGUCGUCUCUACGAUCGUGCCCUGAUGGCAUCCGCUUCAAUUUAUAAACUGGUUUGAGGAACAUGCCCAUGCCAC
RNAcentral lists this long non-coding RNA (204 nucleotides) under Elaeis guineensis (African oil palm). RNAcentral's name for it is "long non-coding RNA (EGUI_LNC072893)". Lineage: Eukaryota; Viridiplantae; Streptophyta; Magnoliopsida; Arecales; Arecaceae. The record is from RNAcentral.